Long non-coding RNA from Terrapene triunguis (Three-toed box turtle), 540 nucleotides. RefSeq lists it as uncharacterized. The transcript is spliced from 3 exons. Lineage: Eukaryota; Metazoa; Chordata; Testudines; Emydidae. The record is from RefSeq and is a predicted model, not a curated record.
GGUGGAAGGGAGAGGCUGUGGGGAAACUCUACCAAAUGUGUUAGUGUACGUAUGCUGUGUAGUUAGAUGCAAGAGUGGAUAAUGAUAGCAAUGGAAGGAGGUGCAGCAAAAGUGGGUCUCCAUUAAUAAGGUAGGGAAUAAGGUUAAGGAGUUUAAGGCAGUGGUCUGAAAGGAAAAUCUAGAAGGAGUCAGAUUUCAGUGUUGGAGCACUCAUUGCAAUGAGUCACUGAGAGAGCCUGAGAGCUGCCUUUGUUUCACUCGAACGCUGGAGGAGACAACAGACUCCAAUUUUUAUUAACUUUUUAUUUUCAGAAGUAAAAAUUCAUGUUCACUGAAUAUUUUUCCCACUUAAGGUCUUUCAACAAACUUUAAAAAAAAUGCUCUCAAGGCAUUGCUGGCGGCCCUGGAAUUUGCUAUUGCUGCACUGGGGUUCAUUUCUCCCUGUUGUUUUAGCGGCUCAGGUCAUAGAAGAUGAUUUACUUACAUUUUGGAGAGUGAAGGAAGGCCCUGGCUGUGCUCUUUGGCUGCAGCUACAGAGAG